This 85-nucleotide transfer RNA is filed under the name Bacteroidia bacterium. RNAcentral describes it as "tRNA-Leu". Lineage: Bacteria; Pseudomonadati; Bacteroidota; Bacteroidia. The record is from RNAcentral.
GCCCGGGUGUUGAAAUUGGUAGACAAGUACGUUUGAGGGGCGUAUGCCGUUAGGUGUGGGAGUUCGAGUCUCCUCCCGGGUACCA